RNAcentral lists this ribosomal RNA (245 nucleotides) under uncultured bacterium. Its description in RNAcentral is "partial 16S ribosomal RNA". It matches the Rfam family "Bacterial small subunit ribosomal RNA", at positions 524 to 768 of the family's 1533-position model. The record is from RNAcentral.
UACGUAGGUGACAAGCGUUAUUCGGAAUUAUUGGGCGUAAAGGGCAUGUAGGCGGUUUGAUAAGUGUGAAUUGAAAGACCGGAGCUUAACUCCGCGUUUGGUUUGCAAACUGUCAAGCUAGAGUGCAGAAGGGGAAACUGGAAUUCCACGUGUAGGGGUGAAAUCUGUAGAUAUGUGGAAGAAUACUUGUGGCGAAGGCGAGUUUCUGGUCUGUAACUGACGCUGAAAUGCGAAAGUGCGGGGAG